AUGGUGGGCACCGAGCUUGAGAGAAACAACCAGCCCUCAAGGAGGAUAAUAUGGCUUAGCCCAGAGGUAGCAAGUACAGAACUGUCUCUGCUUCCUCAGACAUAUCAUAUAUAUAGAAAUAUGUGUUCUUACAAAUUCAUGGACUCCUUUUUCUGGCAUUCUUUAGAAUCUGCUGUUAUUGUUUCCCCACAGGUGACUGGUUCUCUGCAGAAGAAAAAGGGAUCGUUGGGAAAAAAGACCUAAAAAAUAGAUCCAGAAGAGACAAUUUAAGAAACAUUGGACUACCAGAAAAUCAUGACCAAAGAAAAAAGUCUGGAUAUCAUUCUACAGGAAAUUAUUCAAGAAAACUGCUCAGGCAUUCUUGAACAAGAGGGUAAAGUAGACAUUGAAAGAAUCCACAGACCACCUGCUGCAUUUAAUAGCUAAUUGACAACACCAAGGAAUGUUAUAGCCAAGUUCAAGAACUUCCAGAUUAAGGAAAAGAUGGUACAAAGAAACCAUUCAGAUAUCAUGGAUGCACAGUUAGGAUAACACAGGAACUGGCUGCAUCCACUCUGAUGGACUGCAAGGCAAAAAAUAUGAUAUUACAGAAUAUGAGGAAACUGGGUCUACAACCAAGAAUCAACUACCCAGCAAUAUUGAUUAUAGUCAUGCACUGGAAAUUUUGGUAAUUUAAUUUUAAAAAGACUUCCAAGCAUUCCUAAAGGAAAGACCUGACUUAUGCAGAAAAUGUCAUACCCCAAAACAGAACUCAAGAGAAUCACCAAAAGGUAAGAAAGAAAAAAGAAAGAAAACCAAACUUUUUAAGGGACCCAAUGAGGUAAAAAUGAUUUGUAUUUCUAUAAGAAAAGAUAUUGAUAACACUUAAAAAAUGUUAUUUUCAUCAGGUUAGCUAGAAAGAGGGUACAGUGACAAACUGUAUAGGAUGAUAUGUCAAAAUGUAUUUAAAAAACUAGGUGUAAACAUAGGUUAAUACUAAGAGAAAUUGGAAAAGAGAUAAAAUGGGGUAAAUAUAUUUUUCAUAAAGAAGCUCAUGGGGGAGGGGGAGAAGAUCAAUUCAAUGGAAGAAUGGAAGAGUUUGGCAACAUGUAAUACUUAAAUCUUAUACACACUGAAAUUGACUCAGAGAGAGAACAAUCAGAUCCAUUGGGGCAGAGAAUUGUAUUG
This 1167-nucleotide long non-coding RNA is filed under the name Monodelphis domestica (gray short-tailed opossum). RNAcentral describes it as "lncRNA (ENSMODG00000046998.1)". Lineage: Eukaryota; Metazoa; Chordata; Mammalia; Didelphimorphia; Didelphidae. The record is from RNAcentral.